GCGUGCCUUUUGUAGAAUGAACCGGCGAGUUACGAUAUGAUGCGAGGUUAAGUUGAAGAGACGGAGCCGUAGGGAAACCGAGUCUGAAUAGGGCGCUUUAGUAUCAUGACGUAGACCCGAAACCAUGUGACCUACCCAUGAGCAGGUUGAAGGUGCGGUAAGACGCACUGGAGGACCGAACCAGGGCACGUUGAAAAGUGCUUGGAUGACUUGUGGGUAGCGGAGAAAUUCCAAACGAACUUGGAGAUAGCUGGUUCUCUCCGAAAUAGCUUUAGGGCUAGCGUCGACAUAAAGAUUCUUGGAGGUAGAGCACUGUUUGGGUGAGGGGUCCAUCCCGGAUUACCAAUCUCAGAUAAACUCCGAAUGCCAAUGAAUUAUGGUCGGCAGUCAGACUGCGAGUGCUAAGAUCCGUAGUCGAAAGGGAAACAGCCCAGACCACCAGCUAAGGUCCCAAAAUAAUUGUUAAGUGGAAAAGGAUGUGGGGUUGCACAGACAACUAGGAUGUUAGCUUAGAAGCAGCUAUUCAUUCAAAGAGUGCGUAAUAGCUCACUAGUCGAGUGACCCUGCGCCGAAAAUGUACCGGGGCUAAAACAAUUUACCGAAGCUGUGGAUACCUUUAUAGGUAUGGUAGGAGAGCGUUCUAUGUGUGAUGAAGGUAUACCGUGAGGAGUGCUGGAACGCAUAGAAGUGAGAAUGCCGGUAUGAGUAGCGAAAGACAGGUGAGAAUCCUGUCCACCGUAAGACUAAGGUUUCCAGGGGAAGGCUCGUCCGCCCUGGGUUAGUCGGGACCUAAGGAGAGACCGAAAGGUGUAUCCGAUGGACAACAGGUUGAUAUUCCUGUACUAGAGUAUGAAGUGAUGGAGGGACGCAGUAGGCUAACUAAAGCAGACGACUGGAAGAGUCUGUCUAAGCAGUGAGGCGUGGUAUGAGUCAAAUGCUUAUACCUAUAACGUUGAGCUGUGAUGGGGAGCGAAGUUUAGUAGCGAAGUUAGUGAUGUCACACUGCCAAGAAAAGCUUCUAGCGAUGUAUCAUACUCUACCCGUACCGCAAACCGACACAGGUAGUCGAGGCGAGUAGCCUCAGGUGAGCGAGAGAACUCUCGUUAAGGAACUCGGCAAAAUGACCCCGUAACUUCGGGAGAAGGGGUGCUGGCUUAAAGUCAGCCGCAGUGAAUAGGCCCAAGCAACUGUUUAUCAAAAACACAGCUCUCUGCUAAAUCGUAAGAUGAUGUAUAGGGGGUGACGCCUGCCCGGUGCUGGAAGGUUAAGAGGAGUGCUUAGAGGUAACUCGAAGGUAUGAAUUGAAGCCCCAGUAAACGGCGGCCGUAACUAUAACGGUCCUAAGGUAGCGAAAUUCCUUGUCGGGUAAGUUCCGACCCGCACGAAAGGCGUAAUGAUUUGGGCACUGUCUCAACGAGAGACUCGGUGAAAUUUUAGUACCUGUGAAGAUGCAGGUUACCCGCGACAGGACGGAAAGACCCCAUGGAGCUUUACUGCAGUUUGAUAUUGAGUGUCUGUACCACAUGUACAGGAUAGGUAGGAGUCUAUGAGAUCGGGACGCCAGUUUCGAAGGAGACGUUGUUGGGAUACUACCCUUGUGUUAUGGCCACUCUAACCCGGAUAGGUUAUCCCUAUCGGAGACAGUGUCUGACGGGCAGUUUGACUGGGGCGGUCGCCUCCUAAAAGGUAACGGAGGCGCCCAAAGGUUCCCUCAGAAUGGUUGGAAAUCAUUCGCAGAGUGUAAAGGUAUAAGGGAGCUUGACUGCGAGAGCUACAACUCGAGCAGGGACGAAAGUCGGGCUUAGUGAUCCGGUGGUUCCG
Molecule: ribosomal RNA, 1821 nt
Filed under: human metagenome
Description: bacterial LSU rRNA
Rfam family: Bacterial large subunit ribosomal RNA
Source: RNAcentral